GGGACUAUAGUUUAGAAAAACAUUUACCCUGCAAGUAAAAGGCAUUGAUUAACCAAUUUGUCUCA
RNAcentral lists this transfer RNA (65 nucleotides) under Magadhaideus sp. n. SX-2018. RNAcentral's name for it is "tRNA-Ala". It matches the Rfam family "tRNA". Rfam says of the family: Transfer RNA (tRNA) molecules are approximately 80 nucleotides in length. The record is from RNAcentral. Lineage: Eukaryota; Metazoa; Arthropoda; Insecta; Hemiptera; Achilidae.